Molecule: long non-coding RNA, 1071 nt
Filed under: Coturnix japonica (Japanese quail)
Lineage: Eukaryota; Metazoa; Chordata; Aves; Galliformes; Phasianidae
Description: lncRNA (ENSCJPG00005015207.1)
Source: RNAcentral
AUGCAUCCCAUUGCAUCCCACUGUAAACCUGCUGCAUCCCACUGCAACGCACUGCAACUCUGCUGCAUCCCACUGCAUCCCACUGUAAACCUGCUGCAUCCCACUGCAUCCCCCAGCAAUCCUGUUGCACCCCACUGCAUCCCACUGCAACCCUGCUGCAUCUCACUGCAUCCCACUGCAACCCACUUGUUACCCCACAGUAUCCCCACAACAACCCUGUCGCACCCCACUACAACCCUGUUGCAUCCCAUUGCAACCCUGUUGCAUUUCUACUGUGCACCCACUGCAUCCACUGCAACCACACUGCACUGCCUCCCUACAGCCCUGCACCCCAGGGAAGGGCAAUGCCAAGCACAGGAUGCAAUGCUUUCUGCUGGGCUUUGCCUGUCCUGCAGUCCCAGCAGGACUGGGGGAACUGAUGCACUGCCCCAGGCACUGCUCCUCGGAGCAGCGUGUGAAAUGAAGCAGCAUUUAAUUACCCAGCACGUCGGUCGUUUGCAAAGCUGUCAGGAUAACCACCCGUCCAUCCCCUGGGACAUGCAGCCAUGCUCAGAGCUCAGUGCAGAGCAGCAGUCUGGGACAGCAGGGCCUGCACACUGCAAGGAGCACCCAUGGGCCAUAUCUGUCUGCAAUAAGCAAUGGGUUUGCCCUGCAGCAGGAGGGUGCCCCGGGGAUCUACUCCUCUCCAACAUGGGGUACAAAAUGGGUUUGCACAUGGGGAGCUGUGCAGGCAGCCCCAUAGAGCUGCCCUGCAGUUGCAGCACAGAGCUGCUGCCUCUCCCAAAGCCUCAUAUUUCUUUUUUUCCUCCUCAAUUAAGGGCUGGAGUGACAGCAUCCGAGUGGAAAGGCGGGAGGUGGCAAACAAUGCCUGCAGACGGGCUGGGAGGGGAAAGGAGCAGCGUGGUGCCCCACAGCACACGGCCAUGCCCUGCAGCACCGGGAUGGGGGUCUGCACCAGGACAUGGAGCAGGGGAAGGGGGCUCAGAGCUGCAGCCCCCCUGGCCGUUUCAUCCCCCCACAGGCAGCAAUGGGGCAGAGGCAGAGCAGUGGGAACAGCAUGGAGGACAAUAG